Molecule: ribosomal RNA, 468 nt
Filed under: uncultured bacterium
Lineage: Bacteria
Description: partial 16S ribosomal RNA
Rfam family: Bacterial small subunit ribosomal RNA
Source: RNAcentral
GACGAACGCUGGCGGCGUGCUUAACACAUGCAAGUCGAACGGAAAGGCCCUGCUUUUGUGGGGCGCUCGAGUGGCGAACGGGUGAGUAACACGUGAGUAACCUGCCCUUGACUUUGGGAUAACUUCAGGAAACUGGGGCUAAUAUCGGAUAGGAGCUCCUGCUGCGUGGUGGGGGUUGGAAAGUUUCGGCGGUUGGGGCUGGACUCGCGGCUUAUCAGCUUGUUGGUGGGGUAGUGGCGUACCAAGGCUUUGACGGGUAGCCGGCCUGAGAGGGUGGCCGGGGACAAGAGGACUGCGAGACGGCGCAGACUCGUAUGGGAGGCAACAGGGGGAAAUAUUGCACAGUGAGCGGGAGCCUGAUGCAACGGCGCCGGGUGCGGGAAGACGGGCUUCGGGUGAUGAACCGCUUUGGCCUGAGACGAGGCGUGAGUGACGGUAAUGGAUAAAGAAGCACCGGCUAACUACGUG